This 612-nucleotide ribosomal RNA is filed under the name uncultured Clostridium sp. RNAcentral's name for it is "bacterial SSU rRNA". It matches the Rfam family "Bacterial small subunit ribosomal RNA", at positions 91 to 722 of the family's 1533-position model. The record is from RNAcentral. Lineage: Bacteria; Bacillati; Bacillota; Clostridia; Eubacteriales; Clostridiaceae.
GGGAGCGGCGGACGGGUGAGUAACGCGUGGGUAACCUGCCCUGUACACACGGAUAACAUACCGAAAGGUAUGCUAAUACGGGAUAACAUAAGAAAGUCGCAUGGCUUUCUUAUCAAAGCUUUUGCGGUACAGGAUGGACCCGCGUCUGAUUAGCUAGUUGGUAAGGUAACGGCUUACCAAGGCGACGAUCAGUAGCCGACCUGAGAGGGUGAUCGGCCACAUUGGAACUGAGACACGGUCCAAACUCCUACGGGAGGCAGCAGUGGGGAAUAUUGCACAAUGGGCGAAAGCCUGAUGCAGCAACGCCGCGUGAGCGAUGAAGGCCUUCGGGUCGUAAAGCUCUGUCCUCAAGGAAGAUAAUGACGGUACUUGAGGAGGAAGCCCCGGCUAACUACGUGCCAGCAGCCGCGGUAAUACGUAGGGGGCUAGCGUUAUCCGGAAUUACUGGGCGUAAAGGGUGCGUAGGCGGUCUUUCAAGUCAGAAGUGAAAGGCUACGGCUCAACCGUAGUAAGCUUUUGAAACUGUAAGACUUGAGUGCAGGAGAGGAGAGUGGAAUUCCUAGUGUAGCGGUGAAAUGCGUAGAUAUUAGGAGGAACACCAGUUGCGAAGGC